This is a non-coding RNA of Misgurnus anguillicaudatus (oriental weatherfish), 2192 nucleotides long. Lineage: Eukaryota; Metazoa; Chordata; Actinopteri; Cypriniformes; Cobitidae. The record is from RefSeq and is a predicted model, not a curated record.
GAAAAAAGUGCACAACGCAUGUCAUUACUCUAAAGAAGUUUUUAUAUUUGAUCUAACUCAAAAAAAUACAUUUUCUGUCCAGCCAUCAGUUUUAUGUAAAAAAUGUGUUUGAUUUAAAUUAAAAGUAAGUCCUGUUGGUGUAAAGUAAAUACAUUUCUGUAAAUUAAAUUAAAAAUAUUAGUUUCCAUUGUCACGUGACUUACGUAACGUCACCCUGCUGGUGCGUCGGGACGUACAGCUGAAGUUCAGCUUUCCGCCAUCUUGUUAUACACUGCACCGAUGGAUGAACUCCGCGUGGUACAAUGGGAUUCAAGAAAAUUGGCCAAUCAUAUCCCAUCCCUGGAUAGACAUCAGCAAACAUUAUGACAAAGACGUUUGCCUUACGCAGACAAGAGAUUGUGGAAAACCAACCUACUGUUCAAGAACUGCAAGAAAGAUUGCCAGAGGAGAUUAAUGCAGAAUUGUGCAUCACGAUCUUACCUUGAAAAUCAAGAUUUAUGGCCUCUUUGGACAGACAGAGCUCUCAUGUUAUUAGGACCAAAGGUGGAGUCCUCCAUGAAAAACUAAGGACACUAUUAAAGUUAUGGAUCAGAGUCUGGACAUAGAAAUCAGAAGAGAAAGCCUGCUGAAGUGCCUGAUUCAUGUACUUUGGUGAAGAUGCAAGCUGUCUGAUCAAAGAAUACCAGGUAAUGUAGACAAUGCAAACUGCUGAAAGUUUCUCCAACCAUGUUUGCCUUAAAGGUGCAGUGUGUAAUUUUUAGAAGAAACUCUUGACAGAAAUCCAAAAUAAUAUACAAAACUAUAUUGUCAGGGGUGUAUAAAGACCUUUCACAAUGAACCGUUAUGUUUUUAUUAUACCUUAGAAUGAGAUGUUUUUAUCUACAUACACAGAGGGUCCCCUUACAUGGAAGCCGCCAUGUUUCUACAGAAGCCCUUAACGGACAAACUUUUUUUACCAAGUUGUCCGUAGCUUCUCUAUGCAUUUCAAAAGCGAGGAGUGAUCAAUGAACUGAGCCAUUGGUUGCAAUUCGCAACCUCACCACUAGAUACUGCUUAAAUUUACACACUGCACCUUUAAGAUAAAAAAUCUGUCAUCAUUUACUCAUCCUCAUGUUGUUCUAAACCUGUAUGAAUUUCUUUUUUCUGAUGAACACAAAAGAAGAUAUUUUGAAAAAAGGAUGGUAAACACACAGCAGAUAGUGACCAUUAACUUCCAUAGUAGGAUUAAGAAAUAUGAUGGAAUUUAAUGGGUAUCGUCAACUGUGUGCUUACCAUCAUUUAUCAAAAUAUUUUCUUCAUUUAUCACAAUACUUCCAAAAUAUUUUUCCUACUAUAGAAGUCAAUGAACACUAUGCUGUGUGUUUACCAUCAUUUCUCAAAAUAUCUUCUUUUGUGUUCUUCAGAAAAAAUACAUUUAUACAGGUUCAGAACAACAUGAGGAUGAGUAAAUGAUGACAGAAUUUUCAUUUUAAGGUUAACUAUCCCUUUAAAGGAAAACACCACAGUUUUUCAAUAUUUUAUUAUGUUCUUACCUCAACUUAGACAAAUUAAUCCAUCCCUAUCUUUUUUCAAUAAGUACACUUAAUCUUUGUACAGUGUGUCGUAAAUGUGUUAGCAUUUAGCCUAGCCCUAUUCAUACCUUAGGUUCCAAACAGGGAUACAUUUAGAAGCCACCAAACACUUCCAUGUUUUCCCUAUUUAAAGACUGUUACAUGAGUAGUUACAUGAGUAAGUAUGGUGGCACAAAAUAAAACCUGGUGAUUUUCUAAGCGGAUAAAAAGUGAGAACUAUAUUGUAUGGCAGAAGAGCACUUAGUUUGCAGCACUCGGACCUCGGUCGCAGUAACAUCAUCAGAACUCUCCCUCAAAUUCUAAAAAAAGGGGGACUAGUCAGGUAUGAUGGUGUUACUGCAUGCUGUUUGGAUCCUAAGGAAUGAAUGGUGCUAAGCUAAACGCUUACAUAUGCACGCUACAGCAAUUAAAGUAUUAGCCCACUUCUGAAUUAAACAUUCCUCAUAAUUUACUCACGUUCAAGACUUUCUUUCUUCACUAAAUAAAAGAGAUUAAGGUUUUUGAUGAAAACAUUCCAGGAUUAUUCUCCAUAUAUAGUGGACUUCAAUUACACACAAAUGGCUGAAGUAUUCUUCAGAGAAUUUACGCUGUAUGUCCUACGCCUUUCUUAUUCUACUUACG